GACGAACGCUGGCGGCGUGCUUAACACAUGCAAGUCGAACGGAAAGGCCCUGCUUUUGUGGGGUGCUCGAGUGGAGAACGGGUGAGUAACACGUGAGUAACCUGCCCUUGACUUUGGGAUAACUUCAAAAAACUGGGGCUAAUACCGGAUAGGAGCUCCUGCUGCAUGGUGGGGGUUGGAAAGUUUCGGCGGUUGGGGAUGGACUCGCGGCUUAUCAGCUUGUUGGUGGGGUAGUGGCUUACCAAGGCUUUGACGGGUAGCCGGCCUGAGAGGGUGACCGGCCACAUUGGGACUGAGAUACGGCCCAGACUCCUACGGGAGGCAGCAGUGGGGAAUAUUGCACAAUGGGCGGAAGCCUGAUGCAGCAACGCCGCGUGCGGGAUAACGGCCUUCGGGUUGUAAACCGCUUUCGCCUGUGACGAAGCGUGAGUGACGGUAAUGGGUAAAGAAGCACCGGCUAACUACGUG
RNAcentral lists this ribosomal RNA (468 nucleotides) under uncultured bacterium. RNAcentral's name for it is "partial 16S ribosomal RNA". It matches the Rfam family "Bacterial small subunit ribosomal RNA", at positions 28 to 507 of the family's 1533-position model. The record is from RNAcentral.